UACGAAGGGGGCUAGCGUUGCUCGGAAUCACUGGGCGUAAAGCGCACGUAGGCGGAUUGUUAAGUCAGGGGUGAAAUCCCAGAGCUCAACUCUGGAACUGCCUUUGAUACUGGCAAUCUCGAGUCCGGAAGAGGUGAGUGGAACUCCUAGUGUAGAGGUGGAAUUCGUAGAUAUUAGGAAGAACACCAGUGGCGAAGGCGGCUCACUGGUCCGGAACUGACGCUGAGGUGCGAAAGCGUGGGGAGCAAACAGG
RNAcentral lists this ribosomal RNA (253 nucleotides) under uncultured bacterium. Its description in RNAcentral is "partial 16S ribosomal RNA". It matches the Rfam family "Bacterial small subunit ribosomal RNA", at positions 524 to 776 of the family's 1533-position model. The record is from RNAcentral.